GGGAAAUGUAAUGAAUUUGGUAUUGGACAGCUGGAUUUGAAAUGUCUCUGGAAAGAAUUGUCAGAGAUAUUGUGUAGCAUUUGCAUAUAAGAAAAUGAAUAAUUUCUGAAUUCCUGUUGUAGGAGGUGAAAACGGAAAACACAAAGUGAUGGAGGCUUUCCAGCAAGCGGGUAUGGCGUGGAAGCCUGGGGCACACCAACCCAUGAGGCUAGUCAAAGGAAGUGAAGAAGGGAAGACCGCAACAAGGGCAGGAGACAGGAGUCACAAGUACAUUUCCUGGAAUCCAAGGCCUACGUUGGAAUUCCUCAGGAGGUUUAUCUCAAAGCCAGAGAAAGACUUAUCUGGGAACAUAAAACUACAUGGAAGAAGAAAAGGACUUUUAAAUAUUUUAAACUUAACAUUUAAAAAUUUUCAUAAGACUCCAGUCAAACCCAAAGUCAAUCUUCUGAAGCAGACUCUACUUGACCCCGGAGGAUGCAACUGACCAGAGGCUAGUAAGCUUGCUAAAUUAUUAUGGAUAACAGGGAUGUAUGGUGACAAGAAUUUACAUAUGAACGAAAUGUGAACAGUCGGCUUAAUUUCCCUC
This 586-nucleotide long non-coding RNA is filed under the name Pan troglodytes (chimpanzee). RNAcentral's name for it is "lncRNA (ENSPTRG00000052990.1)". The record is from RNAcentral. Lineage: Eukaryota; Metazoa; Chordata; Mammalia; Primates; Hominidae.